CGGUGUUCAACUGGCGUGUCCGCGAGACGUCCUGCCGGUGGGCUUAGCCCGCAAGGGCGGCCCAACUUCAAAUCCCAUCGCGGUGCUCUUCACUGAGUGUCGAGGUGGGCCGGCACGUUUACUUUGAACAAAUUAGAGUGCUUAAAGCAGGCUAAAACUUCGCCUGAAUACUGUGUGCAUGGAAUAAUGGAAUAGGACCUCGGUUCUAUUUUGUUGGUUUUCGGAACCCCCGAGGUAAUGACUAAUAGGAACGGAUGGGGGCAUUCGUAUUGCGACGUUAGAGGUGAAAUUCUUGGAUCGUCGCAAGACGGACAGAAGCGAAAGCAUUUGCCAAAAACGCUUUCAUUGAUCAAGAACGAAAGUUAGAGGUUCGAAGGCGAUCAGAUACCGCCCUAGUUCUAACCAUAAACGAUGCCAGCUAGCGAUCCGUCGACGUUCCUCCGAUGACUCGACGGGCAGCUUCCGGGAAACCAAAGCUUUUGGGUUCCGGGGGAAGUAUGGUUGCAAAGCUGAAACUUAAAGGAAUUGACGGAAGGGCACCCCCAGGAGUGGAGCCUGCGGCUUAAUUUGACUCAACACGGGAAACCUCCCCAGGCCCGGACACCGGAAGGAUUGACAGAUUGAGAGCUCUUUCUUGAUUCGGUGGGUGGUGGUGCAUGGCCGUUCUUAGUUGGUGGAGCGAUUUGUCUGGUUAAUUCCGAUAACGAACGAGACUCUAGCCUGCUAACUAGGCGUAUUUUCGACAUCUCAAAGGUCCGUCGUCCCGGCCCUCGGGUCGUGGGCGUGCGCGAUUUUUACUGUCGGCGUACUAUCAAUUCUUCUUAGAGGGACAGGUGGCUUCUAGCCGCACGAGAUUGAGCAAUAACAGGUCUGUGAUG
This 878-nucleotide ribosomal RNA is filed under the name uncultured eukaryote. Its description in RNAcentral is "SSU rRNA". It matches the Rfam family "Eukaryotic small subunit ribosomal RNA", at positions 636 to 1469 of the family's 1831-position model. The record is from RNAcentral.